UAGAAGCUUACGCACAUAUGUUAGCAUUC
This 29-nucleotide non-coding RNA is filed under the name Rattus norvegicus (Norway rat). Lineage: Eukaryota; Metazoa; Chordata; Mammalia; Rodentia; Muridae. The record is from RNAcentral.